This 681-nucleotide ribosomal RNA is filed under the name Hydnellum complicatum. RNAcentral's name for it is "eukaryotic LSU rRNA". The stretch from base 268 to 421 matches the Rfam family "5.8S ribosomal RNA". Lineage: Eukaryota; Fungi; Basidiomycota; Agaricomycetes; Thelephorales; Thelephoraceae. The record is from RNAcentral.
AACAAGGUUUCCGUAGGUGAACCUGCGGAAGGAUCAUUAACGAGUUCAACGUCUGGGGAAAAAGGUUGUUGCUGGCUUUUCUAGCAUGGUGCACGCCUUGAUCCCGGGACGUCUUUGUCCUCUUCACACCUGUGCACGAUCUGUAGUAUUGGGAGGUUGUUCAAUCUUGAAUGCCUCUCCUCGCUACGCAUUUUUUCUACAUCACCUUAAUAAAAGUCUUUGGAACGUUUGCCCCUGUGCUGUUUAACGACGGUACAAAUGAAAUACAACUUUCAGCAACGGAUCUCUUGGCUCUCGCAUCGAUGAAGAACGCAGCGAAAUGCGAUAAGUAAUGUGAAUUGCAGAAUUCAGUGAAUCAUCGAAUCUUUGAACGCACCUUGCGCUCCUUGGUAUUCCGAGGAGCAUGCCUGUUUGAGUGUCAUGAAAUUCUCAACUGCUUUGGCUUCUUUGUUCAAAGUGAAGUUGGAUUUGGAGUGAGAUUUGUCGGCGUGGGUUCGGCUGCUCCAAAAGACAUUAUAAGCCCGUUUCUAAUCUUGGCGAGUUGACGUGAUAACUUUCUACGUCGCAGUGAAAGCCUCGAGCUUGAAGGCGCACUCUUACGUGCGGCUUCUAUUGGGAAACCGGCUUUUCUGAUGGGGUUUUGUCAUUCGACCUCAAAUCAGGCAGGACUACCCGCUGAAC